GUGGAUCAGUGGCGAACGGGUGAGUAACACGUGAGCAACCUGCCCCUGACUCUGGAAUAAGCGCUGGAAACGGCGUCUAAUACUGGAUACGAGAAGGGUCCGCAUGGGCACUUUCUGGAAAGUUUUUCGGUUGGGGAUGGGCUCGCGGCCUAUCAGCUUGUUGGUGAGGUAAUGGCUCACCAAGGCGACGACGGGUAGCCGGCCUGAGAGGGCGACCGGCCACACUGGGACUGAGACACGGCCCAGACUCCUACGGGAGGCAGCAGUGGGGAAUAUUGCACAAUGGGCGAAAGCCUGAUGCAGCGACGCCGCGUGAGGGAUGACGGCCUUCGGGUUGUAAACCUCUUUCAGCAGGGAAGAAGCGAAAGUGACGGUACCUGCAGAAGAAGCACCGGCUAACUACGUGCCAGCAGCCGCGGUAAUACGUAGGGUGCGAGCGUUGUCCGGAAUUAUUGGGCGUAAAGAGCUUGUAGGCGGUUUGUCGCGUCUGCUGUGAAAAUCCGGGGCUCAACCCCGGACUUGCAGUGGGUACGGGCAAACUAGAGUGUGGUAGGGGAGACUGGAAUUCCUGGUGUAGCGGUGAAAUGCGCAGAUAUCAGGAGGAACACCGAUGGCGAAGGCAGGUCUCUGGGCCACUACUGACGCUGAGAAGCGAAAGCAUGGGGAGCGAACAGGAUUAGAUACCCUGGUAGUCCAUGCCGUAAACGUUGGGCGCUAGGUGUGGGACUCAUUCCACGAGUUCCGUGCCGCAGCUAACGCAUUAAGCGCCCCGCCUGGG
This 778-nucleotide ribosomal RNA is filed under the name Janibacter sp. T1-1_4-13. RNAcentral's name for it is "bacterial SSU rRNA". It matches the Rfam family "Bacterial small subunit ribosomal RNA", at positions 87 to 877 of the family's 1533-position model. Lineage: Bacteria; Bacillati; Actinomycetota; Actinomycetes; Micrococcales; Intrasporangiaceae. The record is from RNAcentral.